CCACAAUGGGACUGAGACACGGCCCAUACUCCUACGGGAGGCAGCAGUAGGGAAUCUUCCACAAUGGACGAAAGUCUGAUGGAGCAACGCCGCGUGAGUGAAGAAGGGUUUCGGCUCGUAAAGCUCUGUUGGUAGUGAAGAAAGAUAGAGGUAGUAACUGGCCUUUAUUUGACGGUAAUUACUUAGAAAGUCACGGCUAACUACGUGCCGG
This 211-nucleotide ribosomal RNA is filed under the name uncultured bacterium. RNAcentral's name for it is "partial 16S ribosomal RNA". It matches the Rfam family "Bacterial small subunit ribosomal RNA", at positions 308 to 511 of the family's 1533-position model. The record is from RNAcentral.